This is a non-coding RNA of Coturnix japonica (Japanese quail), 671 nucleotides long. NCBI's taxonomy places the organism in Eukaryota, Metazoa, Chordata, Aves, Galliformes, Phasianidae. The record is from RefSeq and is a predicted model, not a curated record.
ACACCACAGGGCGCUCCUCAGCUCACAGCUACAAGGAUAUUGGUUAAACCGGGAGCCUUCGACCCCUCCCCGCGUCCCUCGGGGCCGCCAUCCCCUCAGACACCACAAGCAGAAGGGACCCCGGCACCGUGCCCGUCGCCCGCCGCCAUGUUGCCUCCCUCCCCACCUACCGCGGCGCUUCCCGCGCUCGAGCUGAGGGAGGAGGGUCGGCCGCCAUCUUGGAGGCGGCAUGGCGGUGAGGGAGAGCUCUGUUCUCUCACAGCGCCGGAGCUGGAGGCGGUGCUGGGUGUUAACAGCCGUCUGGGGCAGGUCUGAGAGGAUUUUGUUUUAUCCUCUGAGCUGUGUUAUAAACGAGCUGUCUUUGCAACAAAAGUUGGUGUGAUGCCAAUGUUUCUUUCCAUUGCUGAGCACUGUGGACCUUACUCUCUGUCGCAGAAUAUGCUGGCAACAGUCCUGCUUCUGGAGCAUUACAUAAGAUUUCACUAUCCUGAGCCUGUAUCCCUCAUUGCCCUGAAGUGCAGCUUCCUGAAAGCUUCACUGUCGUAAUGGCUUUGCUCGAUUCCUGGUUAACAUCCCAUUCUGCUCUUCUCAUGCGCCAAAAGGAUUUGCAGGAAUAAGCACCUGGACUGCCAUCCUGUGACCUGCAGGUGACUCAGUACAAAAUGAGACAA